RNAcentral lists this ribosomal RNA (442 nucleotides) under uncultured ammonia-oxidizing beta proteobacterium. RNAcentral describes it as "bacterial SSU rRNA". It matches the Rfam family "Bacterial small subunit ribosomal RNA", at positions 198 to 621 of the family's 1533-position model. The record is from RNAcentral. Lineage: Bacteria; Pseudomonadati; Pseudomonadota; Betaproteobacteria.
GGAGGAAAGCAGGGGAUCGCAAGACCUUGCGCUUUUGGAGUGGCCGAUGCCUGAUUAGCUAGUUGGUGGGGUAAGAGCCUACCAAGGCGACGAUCAGUAGUUGGUCUGAGAGGACGACCAGCCACACUGGGACUGAGACACGGCCCAGACUCCUACGGGAGGCAGCAGUGGGGAAUUUUGGACAAUGGGCGAAAGCCUGAUCCAGCAAUGCCGCGUGAGUGAAGAAGGCCUUCGGGUUGUAAAGCUCUUUCAGUCGAGAAGAAAAGGUCGCGACUAAUAAUCGCGACUCAUGACGGUAUCGACAGAAGAAGCACCGGCUAACUACGUGCCAGCAGCCGCGGUAAUACGUAGGGUGCGAGCGUUAAUCGGAAUUACUGGGCGUAAAGGGUGCGCAGGCGGCUUUGUAAGUCAGAUGUGAAAUCCCCGGGCUUAACCUGGGAAU